Molecule: non-coding RNA, 262 nt
Organism: Oryza sativa Japonica Group (Japanese rice)
Lineage: Eukaryota; Viridiplantae; Streptophyta; Magnoliopsida; Poales; Poaceae
Source: RefSeq, a predicted model, not a curated record
UAGCUGAUUGGCGUCAGGCAGUUGAGAAUAUCACCGAGCCAGGCUAGGACAGGUUCACUAGGCAGAAGCAGAGGAUUCUGCAGGUUAGCAUAAAAGGGACGUGUAACAGAGAGAGACACGACACAGGCCAUGUCAUAAUCAGGGUAGGUCCGGCAUUAAACGAAAGAUUAGGGCACUGUUUAUCUUUGCACUCAAUGAAUGAGAACAGGGCAAGAAAAAAAAGUUGGGAGCUGAUUUCGUUUGCACUGAAUGUGAUCGGGGG